UACGUAGGGGGCAAGCGUUGUCCGGAAUUAUUGGGCGUAAAGAGCGCGUAGGCGGUCCGGUAAGUCGGUUGUGAAAGUCGGGGGCUCAACCCUCGGAUGCCGAUCGAUACUGUCGGGCUAGAGUCCGGAAGAGGCGAGUGGAAUUCCUGGUGUAGCGGUGAAAUGCGCAGAUAUCAGGAGGAACACCAAUGGCGAAGGCAGCUCGCUGGGACGGUACUGACGCUGAGGCGCGAAAGCGUGGGUAGCAAACAGG
This 253-nucleotide ribosomal RNA is filed under the name uncultured bacterium. Its description in RNAcentral is "partial 16S ribosomal RNA". It matches the Rfam family "Bacterial small subunit ribosomal RNA", at positions 524 to 776 of the family's 1533-position model. The record is from RNAcentral.